This 226-nucleotide long non-coding RNA is filed under the name Gossypium raimondii (Peruvian cotton). RNAcentral's name for it is "long non-coding RNA (GRAI_LNC002234)". Lineage: Eukaryota; Viridiplantae; Streptophyta; Magnoliopsida; Malvales; Malvaceae. The record is from RNAcentral.
CCCAAUCAACAAAACUGACUGUUCAUCGCCUUGUCACUUCAUCUGCCUUUCUUCUUCAAGACGCUUCCAUACUCCCGAGGCAUUAAUCAUCAACGUUCUUUGUCCAGCCCUCUUCUCGAUUAACCCCAUCCCAUCUUCUCCUUUCCUGAUCAAUCCUAAUCUCCCACUCUAUCCCUUUCCUCUUGAUCUUCUGCAUAUUCCGGAACUCCCCUAACAAGGUACACUG